AGUGAACGCUGGCGGCAGGCCUAACACAUGCAAGUCGAGCGGCAGCGCGUCCGACCACCCUCGGGUGGUCGGAUGGCGGCGAGCGGCGGACGGGUGAGGAAUGCAUCGGAAUCUGCCUCGUUGUGGGGGACUAACGUAGGGAAACUUACGCUAAGUACCGCAUACGACCUAACGGGUGAAAGUGGGGGACCUUCGGGCCUCACGCGAUGAGAUGAGCCGAUGCCGGAUUAGCUAGUUGGCGGGGUAAAGGCCCACCAAGGCGACGAUCCGUAGCUGGUCUGAGAGGAUGAUCAGCCACACUGGAACUGAGACACGGUCCAGACUCCUACGGGAGGCAGCAGUGGGGAAUAUUGGACAAUGGGGGCAACCCUGAUCCAGCCAUGCCGCGUGUGUGAAGAAGGCCUCGGUGUAAG
RNAcentral lists this ribosomal RNA (413 nucleotides) under uncultured bacterium. Its description in RNAcentral is "bacterial SSU rRNA". It matches the Rfam family "Bacterial small subunit ribosomal RNA", at positions 30 to 429 of the family's 1533-position model. The record is from RNAcentral.